Molecule: ribosomal RNA, 433 nt
Filed under: uncultured bacterium
Lineage: Bacteria
Description: partial 16S ribosomal RNA
Rfam family: Bacterial small subunit ribosomal RNA
Source: RNAcentral
AACGAACGCUGGCGGCAUGCCUAACACAUGCAAGUCGAACGAAGGCUUCGGCCUUAGUGGCGCACGGGUGCGUAACGCGUGGGAAUCUGCCCUUAGGUUCGGAAUAACAGUUAGAAAUGACUGCUAAUACCGGAUGAGGACGUAAGUCCAAAGAUUUAUCGCCUGAGGAUGAGCCCGCGUAGGAUUAGCUAGUUGGGGUGGUAAAGGCGCACCAAGGCGACGAUCCUUAGCUGGUCUGAGAGGAUGAUCAGCCACACUGGGACUGAGACACGGCCCAGACUCCUACGGGAGGCAGCAGUGGGGAAUAUUGGACAAUGGGCGCAAGCCUGAUCCAGCAAUGCCGCGUGAGUGAUGAAGGCCUUAGGGUUGUAAAGCUCUUUUACCCGUGAUGAUAAUGACAGUAGCGGGAGAAUAAGCCCCGGCUAACUCCGUG